This 492-nucleotide ribosomal RNA is filed under the name uncultured bacterium. RNAcentral's name for it is "partial 16S ribosomal RNA". It matches the Rfam family "Bacterial small subunit ribosomal RNA", at positions 29 to 507 of the family's 1533-position model. The record is from RNAcentral.
AGUGAACGCUGGCGGUAGGCCUAACACAUGCAAGUCGAACGGCAGCACAGUAAGAGCUUGCUCUUACGGGUGGCGAGUGGCGGACGGGUGAGGAAUACAUCGGAAUCUACUUUUUCGUGGGGGAUAACGUAGGGAAACUUACGCUAAUACCGCAUACGACCUACGGGUGAAAGCAGGGGAUCUUCGGACCUUGCGCGAUUGAAUGAGCCGAUGUCGGAUUAGCUAGUUGGCGGGGUAAAGGCCCACCGAGGCGACGAUCCGUAGCUGGUCUGAGAGGAUGAUCAGCCACACUGGAACUGAGACACGGUCCAGACUCCUACGGGAGGCAGCAGUGGGGAAUAUUGGACAAUGGGCGCAAGCCUGAUCCAGCCAUACCGCGUGGGUGAAGAAGGCCUUCGGGUUGUAAAGCCCUUUUGUCGGGAAAGAAAAGCAGCAGGUUAAUACCCCGCUGUUCUGACGGUACCCAAAGAAUAAGCACCGGCUAACUUCGUG